RNAcentral lists this ribosomal RNA (301 nucleotides) under uncultured bacterium. RNAcentral's name for it is "partial 16S ribosomal RNA". It matches the Rfam family "Bacterial small subunit ribosomal RNA", at positions 509 to 807 of the family's 1533-position model. The record is from RNAcentral.
CAGCCGCCGCGGUAAAACGAGGGGUGCAAGCGUUAUUCGGAUUGAUUGGGUGUAAAGGGUGUGCAGACGGCUUAUUAAGUCACUUGCUAAAUUCCUCGGCCUAACUGAAGGUCUGCAAGUGAUACUGAUGAGCUAGAGGGUGGAAGAGAGAAGUGGAAUUCUCGGAGUAGCGGUAAAAUGCGUAGAUCUCGAGAGGAACACCAAUGGCGAAGGCAGCUUCUUGGUCCAUUCCUGACGUUCAUACACGAAAGCGUGGGGAGCAAACAGGAUUAGAGACCCCUGUAGUCCCUGUCUCUUAUAC